AACGGUGUGAUGAACAUUUCUAAGUUUGCCUUACGUUUCCUUAUGCAGGGAACAAAGAGACAAAUAAUCUUUGCCUUGUGUAUAUAUAUAUAUUGUCCAUUCAAUGUGUAUCUCACGGCAAAUACCAGAUGAUGAGUUGUAUAAUAUUUUGUUGCAAAUGUUGUUCAGUCAUCAGCUUUGUUAGCAUCUGUCCGUCCGUCUGUCACUGCGCAAACAGUCCCGAUGAAACACUCCACAAACAUGCUGCACUGAAUACACUGUAUCUUGCUAUUAUAUCAAAGCGGUGAAGGAGUAUUAUUUUUUUAUUUUUUUUUUGGGAUACGGGAAUACUAUCUAUUGGCGGGUUCUUCCCCCAAUGGAGUUUUAUGUCCAUCAUUUUACAAACUCCUUGUGAGAACCGGCUGGUCCACAUCGUUUGUAACAUUUACAUGAAAUAGGUUUACAACAGUGUGACAUACACGUCUAGCACUGACUCAUUAGUUUACUGUACUGCAUCUCCGUGAUACUUCAUCGACAUCGGCGCUCACGCAGCUUUGUCUUUUAGCAUCGACUACAAAACGUUCAUCAUUCGUCAUAUAAGCAAAGCCCUUACCAAAGUCAUAUUUUUGAUUAGAAUCAUUAGUCAUGCAAAACUCUCCAACCACAGUCAAACAUUUUCAAUUUCAGCCAUAAUCGUAAAAAUCGAUUGUUGUCUCCCACAAUGGUGUUCAGUAUUUCGAGUGAUUCUGAGCAUAUUUUUAUUAGCGUGUUAGUUUCAACGGCAUGCCAAAGUCCUUCAUGUUUAUAAAGUAAAAUGCUUUUAUUUUUUUUCCCUUACAUUGUCCACCUUUCCCAUCCAAUCGAUCCAUUUGAGCACUUUGCCUGAAGUUGGGCGUACACAUUGAGUGUUCUGUUUUUGUUUGCGCACCGACAAUGAGAUCUAGGUCGUUUGUAAUUCGUCACAAGGGGCUUGUUAAACAUACAUAGUACUGGGGGAUUAUGGUGCUGAAAUCCUUCUUCACGCAAAGUAUCACAGGGCCCCAUUAUUUCGACCUUGACUCACUUCCAUUUUCCACCUUAUGUAAGUUGUGUUUGGUUGGAGAGUGGAGGGGCUUUUCCCCUAAAGUGAAAUAAUAGGCUCCUACUGGCUUUGGCUUUAUUUAUGGUUGGGCUAGUUGUUGUUUUGCUUUCAUCUCGUGUCCCACCAAUGCCAUGUAUUUUAGCUUAAUGCAAUAAAAUUCCAACAUUUCUCCUGACUAUUUGAGUGUGUACUUUUAUUUCAUUUUGAUUUUACCCGUAGUUUUUUUAAGCCAGUUAGCUUGAAUAUUUCUUUUAGUUUGUUAGUUGGUUUUAGUAUAGUUUUUGUUUGUUGUAGCAUUGUUUGUUUUUUUUAUAUGUGGAGUGUUUGUCCCCACUCCACAUAUGUAAAAUAAGAAAAAGUCAUUAUUGUGCAAUAAAGUAAAGUUAACUCCAGUUUUAUUUGACCUUCCUUUUGCAGGGAUGUACAGCUAUACCGAAAAAGACUUAAAAUGAAAAUUGUGUGUUGUCUGAGGACUGCAGAUAAUGUUUGGCACAGCCAAGUUAAAAGCAGACAGACUGAGGAGCCUUUGAUCGCCCUGUCUGCAGGGCCCACAGCCAAACCCAUCCUCCCCCCACCACCUUCAGGUGAGCCCCGUUUGUGUGUGAAGGCGGCGGAACCGAAACGCGAAUCGCAGAGAAAGCGAAAGCGCUCGCCGACCA
This is a long non-coding RNA of Syngnathus acus (greater pipefish), 1719 nucleotides long. RefSeq lists it as uncharacterized. The record is from RefSeq and is a predicted model, not a curated record. Lineage: Eukaryota; Metazoa; Chordata; Actinopteri; Syngnathiformes; Syngnathidae. The transcript has 2 exons.